This 414-nucleotide unclassified non-coding RNA is filed under the name Hevea brasiliensis (rubber tree). The record is from RNAcentral. Lineage: Eukaryota; Viridiplantae; Streptophyta; Magnoliopsida; Malpighiales; Euphorbiaceae.
UAUGAUUUACAUUGUGGGAUGGUCUGUUUUCUAUAAGAUUAAGCUGGUGAGAGAGCCCACCAGGCAAUUGCCGCGAGGUGGGGAUUUGACUCUUGGUGAAUUGCUCAAGUAUAAAUCUGAGGAAGGAGUGCGAGUUUUGUUGCUGGUUUGGGACGAUAAGACCUCGCAUGAUAAGUUUGGUAUUAGUACGGCAGGAUUGAUGCAGACACACGAUGAAGAAACCCGAAAAUUUUUCAAACAUUCGUCCGUCAUCUGCGUAUUGGCACCUCGCUAUGCCAGCAGCAAGCUUAGUUUUUUGAAACAACAGGUUGUUGGAACUGCCUUUACACACCAUCAGAAAUGUGUUCUUGUGGACACACAGGCGCAUGGUAAUAAUAGGAAGAUAACUGCAUUUUUAGGAGGUAUUGAUCUGUG